This is a long non-coding RNA of Hippopotamus amphibius kiboko, 1272 nucleotides long. RefSeq lists it as uncharacterized. The record is from RefSeq and is a predicted model, not a curated record. The transcript has 4 exons. Lineage: Eukaryota; Metazoa; Chordata; Mammalia; Artiodactyla; Hippopotamidae.
GGGCGCCUGGCGCUGCGGUCCGGUGCGCCGGAGCCGCCCGCGCGGGCGCCGAGAGGAGAGGCGAGGCGGGGAGCGCGAGCGGCGGCCACUGCCACGUCUUCCCGGCAGUGGCGGCGGUGGCGGCGCGGGAGGAGGAAUAACCCAAGUCUCCUUUCCUGGAAAUCAAUUUGCUGAAACGAUUGAAACAGCAGUUCUUGAAGCUGAAGAAAAGGGGAAAUUUGGAUACUGGGACAGACAUGCAUAAAGGAAGAUGAUAUGAAGAAACAGAAAGAAGAUGGCCAUGUGAAGACAGAGCAUUGGAGUAAUGCAUCCACAAGCCAAGGGUUGCCAAAGAUUGUUGGCAAAUCUCUAGAGGCUAUAAAGAGGCAAGAACGAAUCCUCCCCCACAGGUUUCAGAGGUGAAAAAUCAACCCUCAACUGAUAUCCUGAAAUGAACACUUGAACAUGAAAUGUUCACAACAGAAAUGAAAGGCACAGAACAUGUUUAAGUUGCCUUAUGUAAACCUGUAAAGACACCACAUAAAACCAUAAGGUCCGUUCUCAAUCGUUCACUGAUCCAUCUUUCUAUUUAUGCAACUAACAUUCACUGAACACUGUCUAUACCCCGACGCUGGGAAGUACCGGUGAUACACACAUUAGUAAGGCACGAUCCUUGUUCACCAUCCAGAGGGGAAGUGAUAAGCUAUGGAACAAGUUGGACCAAAACACAAACCAGGUGUAGAUGGAACUAUUUAUUGACUGGAGUUUCAGGGGCAGCUUCAUCAAGGGGAAGGCUGACACAUAAGUCAGGCCAUGUAGGAUGUAGGAUUCCAGAGGCAACAGCAAGAGCAAAGGCAAGGAAGUAGUCUGUUUGAGGAAAUAAUCAGAAUUGAGCCCACGCCAAGAAAAGAACACGGGAGAAAACUACAAAUUCAGAUGUUCUAGCCUGAGGAUAAAAGUCAAUUCAAGCGCAAGAUAAUUUGCCACCCCGACUCCUGCAUGCCUGACAUGUGGGAAGUGUUCAGUAAAUAAUGUCUGGGUAAAUCCUGACCAACUAAGUAAUCUCUCCGUUCAAGUUACGGAAUGAUUUCAGCAUAUUACCAUGUACCGUCCAGGGUCUAAGUCUCCCAUCAUGCCCUUCAGGUGUGUGUUUUCAGUUCUGACAGCUUUAUAUUUCACAUCUGCGACCUGAAAGGAGAUUCGUAGUUAAAAGUGAAUGUAAAAUUCAUAAUAAAAGUUCACAAUUCUAUGAAAGUUACUUUUAUUUUGUUAAUAUAAAUAUUUUCUAAGUGU